AUUGAACGCUGGCGGAAUGCUUUACACAUGCAAGUCGAGCGGCAGCGCGGGGCAACCUGGCGGCGAGCGGCGAACGGGUGAGUAAUACAUCGGAACGUGCCCAGACGUGGGGGAUAACUACUCGAAAGAGUGGCUAAUACCGCAUACGAUCUAAGGAUGAGAGCGGGGGAUCGCAAGACCUCGCGCGUUUGGAGCGGCCGAUGGCAGAUUAGGUAGUUGGUGGGGUAAAGGCUUACCAAGCCCGCGAUCUGUAGCUGGUCUGAGAGGAUGAUCAGCCACACUGGGACUGAGACACGGCCCAGACUCCUACGGAGGCAGCAGUGGGGAAUUUUGGACAAUGGGCGAAAGCCUGAUCCAGCCAUUCCGCGUGCAGGAUGAAGGCCCUCGGGUUGUAAACUGCUUUUGUACAGAACGAAAAGACUCUUUCUAAUACAGAGAGUCCAUGACGGUACU
RNAcentral lists this ribosomal RNA (453 nucleotides) under uncultured bacterium. RNAcentral's name for it is "bacterial SSU rRNA". It matches the Rfam family "Bacterial small subunit ribosomal RNA", at positions 30 to 479 of the family's 1533-position model. The record is from RNAcentral.